This 1265-nucleotide long non-coding RNA is filed under the name Brassica napus (rape). Its description in RNAcentral is "long non-coding RNA (BNAP_LNC013660)". The record is from RNAcentral. Lineage: Eukaryota; Viridiplantae; Streptophyta; Magnoliopsida; Brassicales; Brassicaceae.
UCUAUUUAGUAUAUUUAUAGGAUCAUGAGUGAUUUGGAGAUAAAUGAUGAUUUUGGAGCAUUUUAGAGAUUUUUGGAGUAAGCACCCGAGAUGACCAUCGGUCGAUAUUGAAACGGAAUAAUCGAUCGAUGUUAACGUCUUGACAUCGAUCUAAAGCGAAGCCCAAAUCUUCACCAAGCUACUUGUUUUCUAUGUUGUCUGUCAAAAUUCAAAAUUGGUAAUAAUAUUUAACAUUUUACCAAAAAAGAAGAAGUUUGAGUUGUAAAAUACCAGUUUGGCAAUCUACCGUUAAACACAAUAUCUCCUUCUCUCUCCUCCCUCUGGUUUCUCCGCCUUCUCUCCUCCUAUUUGCAGUCUGAGUUUCUCCGAUGACCGGUGCGUGGCGGUUUCGUUAACGCCAGCGCCGGUCCCAAUCUGCUUAGUUUUCCUUCUAGUUUAACAUAUGUUCGGCGUGUAAUGACUGGAAUCUAUAUUGAUGGAGAUUUUGGUUGGAAAAGCUUGGCUUUCUUUCUCAGAUCUAUGUUAGAUUUCUGAAGUGAAAAUACCUGAUCGUUAGAUUAAUGGUUUGUUUUUUCAUUCCUUUCUCUAUCUUGUUACUGGUGGGAUUUUGGGUGGGCUUGUUCACUUUUUUGGAAGCUGCUGUGGAUUCUUUCCGGUUCUGUAGUGAGCCAGUCAUGUGGGAUUGGUGUCUCUGAGUUUGUUUAGGCUUGGCUCCUUGUUUCUCUGUCAGAUUCAGGUGUGAUCUGGUUUCUUCAAAAGCUCCAUCACUAGGCAUUCAACGGCCGUGCUUGCUCUGCCGUUUCCGAGAGUGUGUGAUGAAUCUGUUGAUUCCAACUUGUCGAAAGGUGGAGUUUGGUUAUUUGGUCAUGAGGUAUUCCCUCGUUGUUCAAGGAGGAAGUGACUUAUUGGUUGUUUGGCUGUGGGCAAUCUCUAUAAAUAUCUUUCAUGGAGUUCUGAAUCUGUUGUUUCAUGUUCGUUUGGAGUCUUCGCCGGUGAAUUUUGUUUUCAGUUGUCUUUAUCUUUUUUUUUUACUGUUAUGUGUUUGUGUUUGUUGGGAUCCCUUGUAUAGGCUUAGUUUCCAGGGUCGGUUCUGUGUGAUCGCUGGCUUGUGUACCAGAUGUAAUCUUUUCGUUGUAAGAACACUAUCUUGUAAUCCUUUGUGUUUUUUUUUUAUUAAUAAAAUCAGGUGAAAAAGGGUUGUAAAAUAUAAAGUAUUAACUAGAUUUUCACCGGAAUAUUUUUUUGGUAAAUUUUUUAUAUAAACG